RNAcentral lists this small nuclear RNA (318 nucleotides) under Mus pahari (shrew mouse). RNAcentral's name for it is "sRNA (MGP_PahariEiJ_G0008322.1)". It matches the Rfam family "7SK RNA", at positions 1 to 277 of the family's 331-position model. From Rfam's summary of the family: 7SK was discovered as an abundant small nuclear RNA in the mid-70s but a possible function has only recently been suggested. Two independent studies have found that 7SK RNA binds the CDK9/cyclin T complex (known as elongation factor P-TEFb). P-TEFb activates transcription by phosphorylating the C-terminal domain of RNA polymerase II. Lineage: Eukaryota; Metazoa; Chordata; Mammalia; Rodentia; Muridae. The record is from RNAcentral.
GGAUGUGAGGGCAAUCUAGCUGCGACAUAUGUCACCCCAUUGAUCACCAUGGUUGAUUUGGCUGAUCUGGUUGGCUAGGUGAGUGUCCCCUUCCUUCUUCACUGCUUCAUGUGUGUCUGUCCUGAAGCUGUGUGCUUGGUCGAAGAAGACGAGCUUUCUGGGAUAGAGGAGGAUUGGGCUUUGGCCAGGUGUAUACAAGUAGCUGUGCUCCCCUGCUAGAACCUCCAAAAAUAUUUAUAUGUAUGUUUGCCUGCAUAAGUUAUGUGCACCAUGUGCAUGCAGUGCCCACAGAGGCCAGAAGGGGGCAUGGGAUCCUUU